This 101-nucleotide Y RNA is filed under the name Colobus angolensis palliatus. Its description in RNAcentral is "Y RNA (ENSCANG00000017554.1)". It matches the Rfam family "Y RNA". From Rfam's summary of the family: Y RNAs are components of the Ro ribonucleoprotein particle (Ro RNP), in association with Ro60 and La proteins. The Y RNAs and Ro60 and La proteins are well conserved, but the function of the Ro RNP is not known. In humans the RNA component can be one of four small RNAs -- hY1, hY3, hY4 and hY5. Lineage: Eukaryota; Metazoa; Chordata; Mammalia; Primates; Cercopithecidae. The record is from Rfam by way of RNAcentral.
GGCUGAUCUGAGUACAGUGGUGUUUACAACUAAUUGAUCACAACCAGAUACAGAUUUCCUGUUCCUUCUCCACUCCCACCGUUUCACUUGACUAGCCUUUG